This 465-nucleotide ribosomal RNA is filed under the name Vreelandella stevensii. Its description in RNAcentral is "partial 16S ribosomal RNA". It matches the Rfam family "Bacterial small subunit ribosomal RNA", at positions 338 to 795 of the family's 1533-position model. The record is from RNAcentral. Lineage: Bacteria; Pseudomonadati; Pseudomonadota; Gammaproteobacteria; Oceanospirillales; Halomonadaceae.
CCUACGGGGGGCUGCAGUGGGGAAUAUUGGACAAUGGGCGCAAGCCUGAUCCAGCCAUGCCGCGUGUGUGAAGAAGGCCUUCGGGUUGUAAAGCACUUUCAGUGGGGAAGAAAGCCUUGGGGCUAAUACCCUCGAGGAAGGACAUCACCCACAGAAGAAGCACCGGCUAACUCCGUGCCAGCAGCCGCGGUAAUACGGAGGGUGCGAGCGUUAAUCGGAAUUACUGGGCGUAAAGCGCGCGUAGGCGGUCUGAUAAGCCGGUUGUGAAAGCCCCGGGCUCAACCUGGGAACGGCAUCCGGAACUGUCAGGCUAGAGUGCAGGAGAGGAAGGUAGAAUUCCCGGUGUAGCGGUGAAAUGCGUAGAGAUCGGGAGGAAUACCAGUGGCGAAGGCGGCCUUCUGGACUGACACUGACGCUGAGGUGCGAAAGCGUGGGUAGCAAACAGGAUUAGAUACCCCUGUAGUC